UGGGGAAUAUUGCACAAUGGAAGGAACUCUGAUGCAGCGACGCCGCGUGAGUGAUGAAGGACUUCGUUUCGUAAAACUCUGUUCUAUGGGAAGAAAAGGACUGUACCAUAGGAGAAAGCUCCGGCUAAAUACGUGCCAGCAGCCGCGGUAAUACGUAUGGAGCGAGCGUUGUCCGGAAUUAUUGGGCGUAAAGGGUGCGCAGGCGGCUUUACAAGUUGGAUGUGAAAUAUUGUGGCUCAACCACAAACGUGCAUCCAAAACUGCAAAGCUUGAGUUAAGGAGAGGUAAGUGGAAUUCCUGGUGUAGCGGUGGAAUGCGUAGAUAUCAGGAGGAAUACCGGUGGCGAAGGCGACUUACUGGACUUAAACUGACGCUCAGGCACGAAAGCGUGGGGAGCAAACAGG
This 404-nucleotide ribosomal RNA is filed under the name Fusobacteriota bacterium. Its description in RNAcentral is "Fusobacteria bacterium partial 16S ribosomal RNA". It matches the Rfam family "Bacterial small subunit ribosomal RNA", at positions 355 to 776 of the family's 1533-position model. The record is from RNAcentral. Lineage: Bacteria; Fusobacteriati; Fusobacteriota.